UACGUAGGGUGCAAGCGUUGUCCGGAAUUAUUGGGCGUAAAGGGCUCGUAGGCGGUUUGUCGCGUCGGGAGUGAAAACUCAGGGCUUAACCCUGAGCCUGCUUCCGAUACGGGCAGACUAGAGGUAUGCAGGGGAGAAUGGAAUUCCUGGUGUAGCGGUGAAAUGCGCAGGUAUCAGGAGGAACACCGGUGGCGAAGGCGGUUCUCUGGGCAUUACCUGACGCUGAGGAGCGAAAGUGUGGGGAGCGAACAGG
This 253-nucleotide ribosomal RNA is filed under the name uncultured bacterium. Its description in RNAcentral is "partial 16S ribosomal RNA". It matches the Rfam family "Bacterial small subunit ribosomal RNA", at positions 524 to 776 of the family's 1533-position model. The record is from RNAcentral.